RNAcentral lists this ribosomal RNA (490 nucleotides) under uncultured bacterium. RNAcentral describes it as "partial 16S ribosomal RNA". It matches the Rfam family "Bacterial small subunit ribosomal RNA", at positions 30 to 507 of the family's 1533-position model. The record is from RNAcentral.
AUUGAACGCUGGCGGCAGGCCUAACACAUGCAAGUCGAACGGUAACAGGAAGCAGCUUGCUGCUUUGCUGACGAGUGGCGGACGGGUGAGUAAUGUCUGGGAAACUGCCUGAUGGAGGGGGAUAACUACUGGAAACGGUAGCUAAUACCGCAUAACGUCGCAAGACCAAAGAGGGGGACCUUCGGGCCUCUUGCCAUCGGAUGUGCCCAGAUGGGAUUAGCUAGUAGGUGGGGUAACGGCUCACCUAGGCGACGAUCCCUAGCUGGUCUGAGAGGAUAACCAGCCACACUGGAACUGAGACACGGUCCAGACUCCUACGGGAGGCAGCAGUGGGGAAUAUUGCACAAUGGGCGCAAGCCUGAUGCAGCCAUGCCGCGUGUAUGAAGAAGGCCUUCGGGUUGUAAAGUACUUUCAGCGGGGAGGAAGGGAGUAAAGUUAAUACCUUUGCUCAUUGACGUUACCCGCAGAAGAAGCACCGGCUAACUCCGUG